UCCUACGGGAGGCAGCAGUAGGGAAUCUUCCGCAAUGGACGAAAGUCUGACGGAGCAACGCCGCGUGAGUGAUGAAGGGUUUCGGCUCGUAAAGCUCUGUUGUUAGGGAAGAACAAGUGCCGUUCAAAUAGGGCGGCACCUUGACGGUACCUAACCAGAAAGCCACGGCUAACUACGUGCCAGCAGCCGCGGUAAUACGUAGGUGGCAAGCGUUGUCCGGAAUUAUUGGGCGUAAAGCGCGCGCAGGCGGUCUUUUAAGUCUGAUGUGAAAUCUCGGGGCUCAACCCCGAGCGGUCAUUGGAAACUGGGAGACUUGAGUACAGAAGAGGAGAGUGGAAUUCCACGUGUAGCGGUGAAAUGCGUAGAUAUGUGGAGGAACACCAGUGGCGAAGGCGACUCUCUGGUCUGUAACUGACGCUGAGGCGCGAAAGCGUGGGGAGCAAACAGGAUUAGAUACCCUGGUAGUCCACGCCGUAAACGAUGAGUGCUAGGUGUUAGGGGUUUCGAUGCCCUUAGUGCCGAAGUUAACACAUUAAGCACUCCGC
Molecule: ribosomal RNA, 545 nt
Filed under: Bacillus sp. A6
Lineage: Bacteria; Bacillati; Bacillota; Bacilli; Caryophanales; Bacillaceae
Description: bacterial SSU rRNA
Rfam family: Bacterial small subunit ribosomal RNA
Source: RNAcentral